This 2124-nucleotide ribosomal RNA is filed under the name Globobulimina sp. Its description in RNAcentral is "bacterial LSU rRNA". It matches the Rfam family "Bacterial large subunit ribosomal RNA", at positions 505 to 2621 of the family's 2925-position model. Lineage: Eukaryota; Foraminifera; Rotaliida; Buliminidae. The record is from RNAcentral.
GAGGGAAAGGUGAAAAGUACCCCGGUGAGGGGAGUGAAAUAGUACCUGAAACCGUGUGCCUACAAGCUGUUCGAGGGCUAUGCAUGAAACAGCCUGAGAGCGUGCCUUUUGGAUAAUGAGCCAGCGAGUUAAUGUAACCGGCGAGGUUAAGGGUUAACACCCGGAGCCGCAGCGAAAGCGAGUCCGAAUAGGGCGAUUCAGUCGUUUGCAUUAGACGCGAAACUAGGUGAGCUACCCAUGAGCAGGGUGAAGCGUAGGUAAGACUGCGUGGAGGCCCGAACCUUCUAGCGUUGAAAAGCUAUUGGAUGACUUGUGGGUAGGGGUGAAAAGCCAAACGAACCUAGAGAUAUCUCGUUCUCCCCGAAAUUUCUAUACGGAAAGCGUCAUGCGCUGACCCGCGGGGGUAAGCCUCUGGACGUGUGCAGGCAGGUAACACUGUACUAAUCGCGACUAAAGUGAGAAUACCGCGGGGUGAAGCAUGGCAGUGAGACUGUGGGUGAUAAGGUCCAUGGUCGAGAGGGAAACAGCCCAGACCUACAGCUAAGGUCCCUAAAUAUGACUGAGUGGGAAAGGAUGUGGGAUCUCGAUGACAACCAGGAGGUUGGCUUAGAAGCAGCCACCCUUGAAAGACAGCGUAACAGCUCACUGGUCAAGAGAUCCUGCGCCGAAAAUGUAACGGGGCUAAGUCAUAUACCGAAGCUUAGGGCGGCACCUUUAUUGGUGUUGCGGUAGGGGAGCGUUCCAUAGGAAUUCUAGCGCGACGGUGACGACGCGUGGUGGCCUAUGGAAGUGAGAAUGCUGGCAUGAGUAGCGAUAAGAAAGGUGAGAAUCCUUUCCACCGAAAGGGUAAGGUUUCCUGGGCUAGGCUCGUCCUCCCAGGGUUAGUCGGCCCUAAGCCGAGGCCGAAAGGCGUAGGCGAUGGCUAGCAGGUUAAUAUUCCUGCACCACCAAUAUGUGUUGAAACGACGGGGACGCCUGAGGGUAAGCUGGAUGGCGACUGGUAGUGCCAAUCCGGGACAUAGGCGAGACUGUAGGUUUCGCUGAAGGGAACCGGCGACUGGAUUUAUCCGGGAGCAGCUGGGCCCUUGGGACGAGAAAAGCCGUUCGUGGAGCAUAUUGGUGUCCGUACCGCAAACCGACACAGGUACCCGAGGAGAGUAUCCUAAGGUGUUCGAGAUAACCACCGCUAAGGAACUAGGCAAAUUCGCACCGUAACUUCGGGAGAAGGUGCGCCCUCCAUGGUGAGACGACUUGCUCGUUUAGCCUAGUGGGGGCCGCAGAGAAUCGGCUCAUGCGACUGUUUACCAAAAACACAGGUCUCUGCUAAGUCGUAAGACGACGUAUAGGGACUGACGCGUGCCCGGUGCCGGAAGGUUAAGGAAGGUUGUCAAGGCUUCGGCCUGAAGCUCCCGACUGAAGCCCCGGUGAACGGCGGCCGUAACUAUAACGGUCCUAAGGUAGCGAAAUUCCUUGUCGGGUAAGUUCCGACCCGCACGAAUCGCGUAACGAUAUGAGCGCUGUCUCGGCGGUGGGCUCGGUGAAGUUGCAAUGCCGGUGCAGAUGCCGGCUAACUGCAGAAGGACGAAAAGACCCCGUGAAGCUUUACUAUAGCUUGGCCUUGGUCUUUGAUUCAUCAUGUGCAGGAUAGGUGGGACGCUUUGAAGCGGGAUCGUUAGAUUCCGUGGAGCGGUCGUUGAGAUACCACCCUUGUUGCAUUGAAGAUCUAACCGCAAGCCAUGAAUCUGGCUGCGGGACAUGGCCUGGUGGGUAGUUUGACUGGGGCGGUCGCCUCCUAAAGAGUAACGGAGGCGCGCAAUGGUUCCCUCAGCGCGUAUGGAAAUCGCGUAUUGAGUGUAAAGGUAUAAGGGAGCUUGACUGCGAGACCUACAAGUCGAGCAGGUACGAAAGUAGGCCUUAGUGACCCGAUGGUUCCUCAUGGUAGGGCCAGAGCUCAACGGAUAAAAGUUACUCCGGGGAUAACAGGCUAGUCUUGCCCAAGAGUCCAUAUCGACGGCAAGGCUCGGCACCUCGAUGUCGGCUCGUCACAUCCUGGGGCUGGAGAAGGUCCCAAGGGUUGGGCUGUUCGCCCAUUAAAGUGGCACGCGAGCUGGGUUCAGAACGUCG